Long non-coding RNA from Quercus lobata, 1640 nucleotides. RefSeq lists it as uncharacterized. The record is from RefSeq and is a predicted model, not a curated record. Lineage: Eukaryota; Viridiplantae; Streptophyta; Magnoliopsida; Fagales; Fagaceae. The transcript has 3 exons.
AACACUACUAGAGCUGUGUGAGAAUGGAGGAAGAAAACUCCGAUUCUAGCAAAAGAAGCUCAACUUCCAGCGAAGACAGCGCUCCCUAUUCCCCUCACUAUUCUAGCCAUGCUACAAACCCCAUUAAUUCUCAAGAAGAAGAAGAAGAAUCAAGCGAUGAUCAUCGAACCAAGCACCAAUCUUUAAAGAAGAUCGAAUCAGCACCUUAUCUAACACCAUCCUCCUCAGAAUUCUCUCCUCUUUGCCCACCAAAGACGCUAUCAAAACAGGCGUUUUGUCCGAAAGAUGGGCCUAUCUUUGGACCUCCGUUCCCUCUCUCGGCUUCACCGCCGUGAAUGAGGCUCUGCUUCUACACAGAGCUCCAAAACUCACAAAUUUCUCUGUUCUGUUGGUGUACGAGUCAGAACAAAAGACUCGCCUGGAUCGUUGGGUACGUUUUGCCACAACUGGCAAGGUUGACCGACUUAGUCUACGUUCAUCAUCGAGUUAUAUCAAACCUUAUGGAUACACAUUGCCGCAGCAUCUCUACGCUGAUGAGUUUGUUUCUGAAUUGGAUUUUCAUUUCUGCGAAAUUAAGCCUAAUGGGUUAGUGGGUUGGAGUUCACUCAAGCGCUUGUGUAUUGGGUACACGGCUUUGUCUGAAGAUGUGAUAAACAAAGUGUUAAUGGGGUAGUCCUAGACUUGAAUUCUUGAAAUUGCAUAAUUGUUAUCAGUUUAAUCGGUUGGAUAUGGUGUAGGAUAAAGGAUGUUUCGACAUUGAUUGAGGUUAAGCUCAAUUUCGAGCUGUUGGUGAAAUAUGAAAGCAUAGAGGAGGAUGCUUGUAAGGAACACCGAGAUAUUGUGAAAGAACUUCUUCAGAGUCUGCAUCAUGUCAAGAAUCUUACUGUUGGCAAAUGGUGUCUCAUGGUUGGUUUUAAUUUCUUAAAUCUCUCUGUUAAUUAUUUUUCUUUGUUUCGAUUGUCAUAUGAAACACUUCCAUGUUUUUCUUGACUGCAAAUGUUGAUUACUUUUUGAGAAUCUGCAUCAAGUGAAGAAACUUAUUGUUGGCAAAUGGUGUCUAAAGCUUGGACAUAGCAUGUUAGAGACAGCAACUUGUUAAAAUUCAGACCAUACAUAUGUCGCAGGACCAGCAUACUUAGCACAAAGAAAAGGCAUUUCUUUUUGUUGAUUGUUUCUAGAUAGAUGUUAUGAUGAAGUAAACCAUUGGAAAUCAAAGGAGAUCUAUUUCAAGUCUUUGCUACGACACCUCAAGAUUGUCAAGAUCUUUGGUUUUGGAAAUUUUUUACACACAAAAGAAGUAUUCAUUUCAAUGGUACAAUUUCUACUUAAGAAUGCAAAGGUACUGGAGAAGAUGACUAUCACUGAACCAUGGUUUAUGCGAAAUCAAACUUGUUUUUGGGGUCGUGAAUUUCUACAAGUGGCUCAAAAGUUGUUAAGCUUCCCUAGAUCCUCUCCUAAUACAAUGAUUAUGUUCUCAUAUGAGAAAAAUCAUUUUAAGUUGUUCAAUCCUCUUAAAUGAUCAAAUUUUCAUAAAAACAUAACUAGUUAUGCAUAUUAGUUUGGUUCAAUGAACUAAAAUAUUGCUAUGAUUAGCUGUUGAUUUCAUGUACUUAUGUUUUCGUUGUGAUGUUAAACUUGCU